GAUGAAGAACGUAGCGAAAUGCGAUACUUGGUGUGAAUUGCAGAAUCCCGUGAACCAUCGAGUCUUUGAACGCAAGUUGCGCCCGAAGCCAUCAGGUUGAGGGCACGUCUGCCUGGGCGUCACAUAUCGUUGCCCAAUGCCUAUUGCAGUGCAAUAGGAAUUUCUAGGGCGAAUGAUGGCUUCCCGUGAGCGUUGUUGCCUCGCGGUUGGUUGAAAAUCGAGUCCUUGGAAGGGUGUGCCAUGGUAGAUGGUGGUCGAGUUAGAACGAUACCGAUCAUGUGCAUGCUCCCCAAAAUAUGGCCUCUAUGACCCACACGCGUCUUUGGACGCUCAUGACGAGACCUCAGGUCAGGCGGGGCUACCCGCUGAAUUUAAGCAUAUCAAUAAGCGGAGGA
RNAcentral lists this unclassified non-coding RNA (395 nucleotides) under soil metagenome. RNAcentral describes it as "partial contains 5.8S ribosomal RNA, internal transcribed spacer 2, and large subunit ribosomal RNA". The stretch from base 1 to 122 matches the Rfam family "5.8S ribosomal RNA", at positions 35 to 154 of the family's 154-position model. The record is from RNAcentral.